RNAcentral lists this unclassified non-coding RNA (269 nucleotides) under plant metagenome. RNAcentral's name for it is "partial contains small subunit ribosomal RNA, internal transcribed spacer 1, and 5.8S ribosomal RNA". The record is from RNAcentral.
UUUCCGUAGGUGAACCUGCGGAAGGAUCAUUAAUGAGUUGUCAUGGGGUUCGAUGCUGGCAGCCAAUUUUUGGAUGCAUGUGCUUGCCCUAACAAUCAUCUUCCAAACACCUGUGCACAUUUUUGAGGGAGUCUUGAGUUGGUUGCCGCUCUUGGGUGAUUUUCUCACAUUCCCUUAAAUCAAUAUACGCUAUUAACAAUGUUGAACGUGCUCUGUGCCGCAAGGCUAUUAAUAUAAUACAACUUUUAACAACGGAUCUCUUGGCUCUC